Molecule: ribosomal RNA, 1352 nt
Filed under: uncultured bacterium
Lineage: Bacteria
Description: bacterial SSU rRNA
Rfam family: Bacterial small subunit ribosomal RNA
Source: RNAcentral
AUUGAACGCUGGCGGCAUGCCUUACACAUGCAAGUCGAACGGCAGCGCGGGGCAACCUGGCGGCGAGUGGCGAACGGGUGAGUAAUAUAUCGGAACGUACCCUGGAGUGGGGGAUAACGUAGCGAAAGUUACGCUAAUACCGCAUACGAUCUAAGGAUGAAAGUGGGGGAUUCGCAAGAACCUCAUGCUCCUGGAGCGGCCGAUAUCUGAUUAGCUAGUUGGUAGGGUAAAAGCCUACCAAGGCAUCGAUCAGUAGCUGGUCUGAGAGGACGACCAGCCACACUGGAACUGAGACACGGUCCAGACUCCUACGGGAGGCAGCAGUGGGGAAUUUUGGACAAUGGGCGCAAGCCUGAUCCAGCAAUGCCGCGUGAGUGAAGAAGGCCUUCGGGUUGUAAAGCUCUUUUGUCAGGGAAGAAACGGGCCUUUCUAAUACAGAGGCCUAAUGACGGUACCUGAAGAAUAAGCACCGGCUAACUACGUGCCAGCAGCCGCGGUAAUACGUAGGGUGCAAGCGUUAAUCGGAAUUACUGGGCGUAAAGCGUGCGCAGGCGGUUUUGUAAGACUGCCGUGAAAUCCCCGGGCUCAACCUGGGAAUGGCGAUGGUGACUGCAAGGCUAGAGUUUGGCAGAGGGGGGUAGAAUUCCACGUGUAGCAGUGAAAUGCGUAGAUAUGUGGAGGAACACCGAUGGCGAAGGCAGCCCCCUGGGUCAAAACUGACGCUCAUGCACGAAAGCGUGGGGAGCAAACAGGAUUAGAUACCCUGGUAGUCCACGCCCUAAACGAUGUCUACUAGUUGUCGGGUUUUAAUUAACUUGGUAACGCAGCUAACGCGUGAAGUAGACCGCCUGGGGAGUACGGUCGCAAGAUUAAAACUCAAAGGAAUUGACGGGGACCCGCACAAGCGGUGGAUGAUGUGGAUUAAUUCGAUGCAACGCGAAAAACCUUACCUACCCUUGACAUGGCAGAGAUCCCGGAGAGAUUCGGGAGUGCUCGAAAGAGGAUCUGCACACAGGUGCUGCAUGGCUGUCGUCAGCUCGUGUCGUGAGAUGUUGGGUUAAGUCCCGCAACGAGCGCAACCCUUGUCAUUAGUUGCUACGAAAGAGCACUCUAAUGAGACUGCCGGUGACAAACCGGAGGAAGGUGGGGAUGACGUCAAGUCCUCAUGGCCCUUAUGGGUAGGGCUUCACACGUCAUACAAUGGUACAUACAGAGGGCCGCCAACCCGCGAGGGGGAGCUAAUCCCAGAAAGUGUAUCGUAGUCCGGAUUGUAGUCUGCAACUCGACUGCAUGAAGUUGGAAUCGCUAGUAAUCGCGGAUCAGCAUGUCGCGGUGAAUACGUUCCCGGGUCU